GUAACGCGUGGGAACGUGCCCUUCUCUGCGGAAUAGCCACUGGAAACGGUGAGUAAUACCGCAUACGCCCUUCGGGGGAAAGAUUUAUCGGAGAAGGAUCGGCCCGCGUUAGAUUAGAUAGUUGGUGGGGUAAUGGCCUACCAAGUCUACGAUCUAUAGCUGGUUUUAGAGGAUGAUCAGCAACACUGGGACUGAGACACGGCCCAGACUCCUACGGGAGGCAGCAGUGGGGAAUCUUAGACAAUGGGCGCAAGCCUGAUCUAGCCAUGCCGCGUGUGUGAUGAAGGUCUUAGGAUCGUAAAGCACUUUCGCCAGGGAUGAUAAUGACAGUACCUGGUAAAGAAACCCCGGCUAACUCCGUGCCAGCAGCCGCGGUAAUACGGAGGGGGUUAGCGUUGUUCGGAAUUACUGGGCGUAAAGCGUACGUAGGCGGAUCAGAAAGUUGGGGGUGAAAUCCCGGGGCUCAACCCCGGAACUGCCUCCAAAACUCCUGGUCUUGAGUUCGAGAGAGGUGAGUGGAAUUCCAAGUGUAGAGGUGAAAUUCGUAGAUAUUUGGAGGAACACCAGUGGCGAAGGCGGCUCACUGGCUCGAUACUGACGCUGAGGUACGAAAGUGUGGGGAGCAAACAGGAUUAGAUACCCUGGUAGUCCACACCGUAAACGAUGAAUGCCAGUCGUCGGGCAGUAUACUGUUCGGUG
RNAcentral lists this ribosomal RNA (699 nucleotides) under Sulfitobacter dubius. RNAcentral's name for it is "bacterial SSU rRNA". It matches the Rfam family "Bacterial small subunit ribosomal RNA", at positions 110 to 845 of the family's 1533-position model. The record is from RNAcentral. Lineage: Bacteria; Pseudomonadati; Pseudomonadota; Alphaproteobacteria; Rhodobacterales; Roseobacteraceae.